UGGCUCUCUUUUUUUACCCUUCCUCCUCCAGCAGCACAAUAUGAUCCACCAGUAAGCAGGGACACCAAUAAGGCAUCUGAAAAGAUAAGUCUUAUAAAAUAUAUAGAUUUAUGAUAACUAAGACUGAGCUAACAGAUGAGAAGUUCUAGUCAUUGGCCAAGCAGCUUUAAACCUAAUACAAGUUUCUGUAUAUUCAUUUGGGCCUAACUCAGGCAGGCGGCUGGCAUAAAGCUCACCCGUGGCGGUGGGGCUCAGGCAGCUUUUGGCAGAAAGAUUUAUCGUAACAUACAUAUGCAAAUUUUUAUAAUCAUAGAGGGAUUUGGGACAGACUCCAGUGAAUGCAGAUCUGCCAAACUCUGGACAUAUUCCUGACUCACACUGAAUAAACUUUAUGGAUAGACAUCUGCCUAGACAAAGAAUCGGACUUCAGUCAUGAGCCCUAACUCACAGGCAUGAGGAGCUGAGCCUGAAUCCUCAGAACACCCUGAGAAGGCAGGGCGUGGGACAUCAGACCUCAUCUGUUACAGGGGAACCGAAAAACAGAAGAGGACUGAAACAAAGAGAGUCAUUCCCUCGGUGACAUAGCCACUGACAUGCAAAUGCCCAGCUGUCUGCUCCUGCUGCCCUGAGUGCUGUCACACCUUCAGUGGGAUGGACGGCACCCUGCUAAACCAUGACCUAGGAUAAAUCAUUGCUCCCGUCAAUUGCUUUCUGUUGGUCAUUUUGCCACAUCGAUGAAAAGCAAAUCCAGUAUGGAAACGCAACACCAAGAAGAGGAGCAAUUGUUUGGACUAUCUGACUUCUCGUGCCUUGUAGGCCUUUGUGGCUGGUUUGUAGAGAGAAUUUUGAGGAGUUUGGACCUGUAGAAUAUAUCAGCCCUUGAGUGUUAGAAGCAGAGUUUAAUUGGUCAUUCAGAUGGAAGCUGGUGAAACAUGAAUUCUGAGAAAAAUUCAGACAGUGGGAGCCUAGAAGCCUGGCUUAUAAGGUAUCACUGAAAAAUGAGGUCUCUGUUAGGACUUCAGUUAUAGGACACUCAUGUUAAAUUAUUCCUGAGUCUGGAAAGCUGAGUUUAAAAGUAAUGGACCAAGUCAUUUGGCAGAGGGAUUUUCAAGAUCACGUAAAUGCUUAGCCUGUAGUGUGGUCAUUGUUCACUGCCUCUACUGAGGUUUAGAAGGAGAAUUAAGGAGAAAGCUUGCACUUUGCACUGCAACCAUAGGAAAUGUGCCCGAGGACAAGACCUUACCAAGCAAAGGCUGCAGUUGGGGACAAUGAAAAUGCACCUGAAAGGAAGGCUGAAUUGGGAACACCAGUGUAGUAGCUCCCUGUUCAAAAACAGCUACCAAGGGAUACAUCUAUCUACAAAACAAUUCCUGCAGCUAAGGUUUGGGGAACAUUAUGGAAAAGAGGGCUGAAAUAUUGUCAGAGCCAGAAGAUCAGGGCAUUCGCUAAGAGUGUGAGUCUCCUAGUAGUGUCAGAAGCUAGAAGCUACACACAUAAUUUCUCACCAACAGGGCUGACUAGACUUCGGCUGAAGAAGCAAAACAAAAAUGCACAAAAAUAGACAUGCUAAUGUAGAGGGGGAAACAUGAAGAAUUACAAGUAGACCAGGCAUUGGUGGUCUACACCUUUAAUCCCAGCAUGCAAGAGGCAGAGGCAGGUGGAUUUCUGUGAGUUCGAGGCCAGCCUGGUCUCCAGAGUGAGUGACAGGACAGCUCCAAAGCUACACAGAGAAACCCUGUCUCGGGAAAAAAAAAAAAAAUCAACAAAAGAGAAUUACAGUCAAGUACAGAAGGCUGAGUGGUGUGUGUGUGUGUGUGUGUGUGUGUGUGUGUGUGUGUGUGUGUGUGUGUGUGUGUGUGUGUGUAAUAACAACUAAUUGUUUUAAGGAGUCCAUGAUUUUGAAAUAGAACCGGAGUGGGUUUGUAGAGAGAAAAUGGGAGGCUUUGUAGAGAGGAGAGGGAAUGGAGAAAUGUCAGAAUUGUAAUCUCAAAAAAAGAAAAAAAACAUAACUUUUUAAAACUGCCUAAGGAAAUUUUUCAUAGGUUUGUCCAAUAAGACGCCCAAAGCUCUACAGCUAUGGUGGAAGGGACUGCAUCUUGAGCUGACAGCAGUAACGUCCACAUGAGGGUUCUCUUAAAGGAUAAAAACUCCAAGAGUUUCAAAAAGAUGCUGAGGCCACACAGUAUGUGGAGGGUCGAAUUCCUUGAAAGGUACCUCUUAAAGGACAUUGUAUGAAGUUGUGAAGGUGAGGUCUAAGCUGCAGUGAAGACCAUCCCAAGACUGGGAGACAUCCUCGGAGGAAAGCCAAUCCAAGAAAGAGGCUGUGUGUUCUAAACUCAGAAAAGCCAGAGGGAUGCUGCUACCCAAACCAUGAAAGCCCAGCCAGUGUCAUUCCAGGCCCCGUGUGCUUUGGUGUUUGUGCUGCUUGGUUUCAGUCUUGCAUUGACCCCAUCGCUCCUCACUCUUAUUCUGUUUCUCUUUUGGAACGGGAAUGUUUACUCUGUAAUUGGAAAUAAGUAAAAUUUUUUAUUAAUGGCAUAGAGUUAAGAGUUUGUCUUGAGUCUCAGGAGACUUUGGACUUUCGUAUUGUGUUGGCAGCUUUUUGACUCUUACAAAUAGAUGGCAUGGGGUUUGUAUUGACAUGGCAAUAAGCCUUUGAGGACCACCGGUGGGAUGUUGUCAUUUUGAAGUGCUAUUUUUGGGUUUCACAUUGACAAAGGUGGAUCUGUGAUGAGUAAUCUUCCUUGACACCUUGUCCACAUUUGGAAUCACUUGGGGUGCACACACAUCUUUAUAUUUCUAGGGGGGGUUGCGCCAGAAACUUUUAACUUAGGAAGGAAGCUCCAUUCUGAUGUGAGAGGUAUUCUCCAAAAGUCUUGUGUCCUAGACUAAAUAAAAAUGGAAGCAGGAAUGCCAGCCUACCCAAUCUCAGCUCUCUGAUCUUCUGAGAUGUAAGGAUCCUUCUGCUUCCAUGAGCUCUGGCUUGGUUUGGUGCCAUGAUGAAUUAUACCAUCCAAAACCAUGAGCCCCAGCAUAUCCUAUUUCUCGAAAGUUGCUCAUUGUCAGGCAUAUUUGAAACAAAAAAGAAAAAAGCGUUAGAUGCAUUGAUUUUAUAACCAUCUGAAAAAUCUUCGCUUAGACCUACAAAAUAUUACUUCAUAACUGGUGCCGUCAAUGAGUCUUCAAUAAGUGAUUCCAACAUUCUAUAAAGCUGGCUACUUCAGAAUAUCAAGGAAGACAAUAAAGUUGAUGGAUGCUAACAGCAAGAGCCUUUGCCACUGUUCUGCGAAGUGGGUUCCUAGACCAGAAUCGAUACUGUGUGAAAUUCCAUUGCCAACAGAUAAGACAUCCCACAAUUCCACUGAUAAUCAUUUGGACAAAAACAUCGUACAUAAAGAAAGCAAGUCUAUAUCCAUAGUACACAUCUAUUUCAGUAAUAGAAGAAGAUACUUCCCUUCCAUGGCUAAAGCAGCCCAAGGUGAUUAACCUGUCAUAAACCAGUUAGUUGACCACCAUAGGCGAUUGUGGCUUAUCGAGGACUGAGCAGGACCUAAUGCAAAGAGACUAGCCACUAGGCAGUGGCCAUGACAAGGUCAUCCUUGGGAAGUAGACACUAAGCACUCGGCAGUGACCAUGACAAUGUCAUCCUUGGGAGAGAGAAGCCUGGGCCACUUCCUGAGUGCUCCUAGUCAUAAUCUGCCAAUGGCGUUGCUUUCUAAGUCCCCAACCAUCCAGCUAAACCACUGGCUCAAUAAAUCAUUAUACAUCUGGCCACCUAUCCUUUUAGCCAAAGUGAACUACCAUGUGUAGCUCCAUGAAUUUCUGGCCACUUGGAUGAUUUAGUGUCUUCAUAUUUUUCAGGGAUGGCCCAAAGUAGGACACCUGCAACUAUCCAUCUGCAAGUGGUACCAGUUUAUCAUAGAGAACUGUUUGUAAGCCUUAUUCUUCUCGUCCUCUACCAACUAGUCCUCAGAAACUCCCAAAAGACCAGUGUUUCAGGCUGGGAAAGAAAAGGCAACCUAACCUGCAUAGAGACCAUGGACACCAGAGCUGUUUCUUCCCGUAACUUAACUGUGUUUCAGGACUUGAGUGUGUCCUGUCAUGUCUAUUGUCUUUCUGUCUCUUGCUGUGUGUACCAAGCUUUACAGUUUGGUAGGGCAAAUAUCACUCAAUACCUGGUGGAUAGCUCCUGGUGGCAUAUGGCCAAGUAUUCGGUUUUACUAAUGCUACAUACUACUUCCCAAAAGUUCAGUUAGUAUGGAGGAUUGUAAGACUUCACUCUAAGACAUGAAGGACCUGAAAGUGUCCUCUAGGAACAAAAGAAAGGCUCCAAAAUAGUGUCCCCACCUGGUACUGAGCAUUCAAAGACUGCUUAAAGUGGACUGUACAACCCAAAUUGAAAGUGAUCUUGUACAGCCAUCAGGGCUUUCUCUUUUGUUGGGCUCCACUAAUGAUAUAAGAAGACUGAAACAGUUGUAAUAAAAAUCACUAAAAGCUACAAAGCUCCAGUGUCUAAUAUAUAGUAGCAUUGUUAAACUGAAGAAUAAUCAUAAUACAGGACGCUAUGUAACAACAAAUGAGGAUGUCUGCUAUAAGUAGCAUCACCUUGAAUCUCACAGAGAAAGCAACAAAUUAGUGAGGGGGACGGGGAAAGCCAACCACAAAAGACUGCACAUUGUAUAAUUCAAUUAUGUGAAAUCCAAGAACUUAAACAAACUGUGGUGUUUGAGAAGCCAGAGUUUCUGUUACUUGAUUUAGUGGGGUAGACAGUAGAAGUAUGGGAUUAGAAACAGGCAGAGAGGAUCCCUCUGGGAUACAGAAAAUACUCUCUAUAUAUUACAUGGUAUGGAAUGUAUAUAUCUAAAACCCAUUGAUUGUGCAGUUAGGAUUUUUUACUAUCUAGAACUCAGUAAGCUUUUUGUUUUCAUGAAAAUCAUCCCUUUCCUCCCAACAGCUAGACAUUGCUGAAAUUAUAUACAGUGGUGUUUCUAGUCUGCUGCUCUUCCUCUUAACAACCACCCACUAUGGGUUAUCCAUAUUUUUUUUCAUAAGGGAGUUCCUAUUAGAAAAGUGUGUAUCCUGACCACAACAGAAAAUUCCAAAAUAAAAAUUUAAAUACAAUUUAGCAAAAACAUUUAACAAAGAAUCGUUUUCAUUACACAUGCAAAUUUGGGGCAGAUGUGUUCAGCAGAAUAACCCAGGCCUACCCACCACUAGGAUAAAAGUAAAACUUAGUAGGCAGUUCUGAAAUAUUGUAAUGACUUCCCCUGGGUUCCUUUCCAAGGCUGCAGUGGGAACACAGAAAUGCUAAAAAAGGCAUUCCUCUUUCAGAACAUGUGACUGGAACUCUCAGUGCUAGAUGGUUGGGAAAUUCGGCUGAGCCUUGAGGACUAAGCUUUGAAGUCUUUGAGCAACCCUAAUAAAGAAAAGGUAACAUUCAUUUAGAAAAGUGUGUGUGUGUGUGUGUGUGUGUGUGUGUGUGUGUGUGUGUGUGUGUGUGUGUGUGUGUAGAUAGAUGUAGACAGAUGGAUAGAUGGAUGGAUGGAUGGAUGGAUGGAUGGAUGGAUGGAUGGAUGGGAUAUGGGUAGGUCUGAAACUAUCAACAAGGUUAGCAGAAUUCUACAACUCAUAGUAACUAAGCAACCUUCUCCAAAAUUUCAAAAAUAUUUAGUUGGUUAUCCCAGGUAAAGCCUACAUCAUCUAGUCACCAGACUCUGUCAUGUGGUCAUGUGGCCUGCUCCCUGCCCCCAUUUGUUUGGUGUGGCUCAUCUCUAGACUCAAACACCGGUGAAGGUUUCAUUGCAUGCUUAGAUAAGUCACAGUCACUGUUUACACCCAUAAAAGGCAUGACUGCCUUUUUUUUUAUUGUAUCUGAAUGAAAAAAAAGUAUUAACUUUAACACCAAGAUACCGCAACUGGUGAUUUCUGAUCAAUACUGCCUUCGUUUGUAGUUCCUCUUGAGAAUGCUGGUUUUGGGGAGCUCAGUAGGAUCCAUGACUUCAGCCCCCUUUGCUGUCUUUGACUACCCACUCGAGAAGCUGUGAGAUGAAUAAGGUAAUUCAUCUCUGUUCACACAGUGGUGAUUUAUCUAAUCUUAAUGCAGGGGUGGAACCUGGAGUGUCUGCCUGCUACGCUAAGUGUCCUACUGCUGACCUAUAUCCCCAGCGCCCCUCUCCCACAUCUUCAUAGCCAUCUGCUCGUGACCUUGGGCCAAACACUCCUUUGGUCUCCCAGACUCUACCAGUCAAUGGUUCCCACAGUCUACUGUUUCUCACAUAGCCUCUUCAAGUAUCCUACAAGUAACAGAUUAGGAAACAGAUGCUGCUAUUGGAAGUCUAACGUAGAAGCAAUUCCCGUAUUAGCUAAAAAUUCCUGACCUUACUAGCUCUCCGGUACUUCCCUGGUACACGGUGCUACUAACUCAGGCAAACCUGAGGUUGUCUGGUCAGGCUCCACCAUCUCACAACCUGUGUGUUACUGGGACAGCAUCUUCAGUGCACCAGCUGUAGGAGAGCCUCGUCAUUUCCUGCAUUCGCUGAUGGCUACUCAUGAUGGACACUCAAAGGCUACAUGCUUCCUUUUCUUUCUAAGCAAGGACCAUAUACUAGUCUGGUGUGAUCAUGUUCAUCAGUGCCUAGUUUACAAGAAAAAAAAACACGGUGAUGCAAAAAAAAAAAAAACACUGUGAUAUUCACAAACCUUUUAAGAAACAUAAAUAGCGUAAGUAGAAGUUGGGGGCUUAGCCGGGUGGUGGUGGCACAUGCCUUUAAUCCUAGCACUCGGGAGACAGAGGCAGACGGAUCUCUGUGAAUUCGAGACCAGCCUGGUCUACAAGAGCGAGUUCCGGGACUGCAUCCAAAGCCACAGAGAAAGCCUGAAUCGGAAGAAGAAAAAAAGGAGAAGAAGAAGUUGUGGGCUUGGGCUAUUAGGCUGUGGAAUAAAGAGAUGUGUCACAUAUAAGAAACUUCUGACCUCUUGGAAAUAUUUGAUGAGUGGUCCAGACAGGGAACACAUAAGUGGUCCUCGGUUCAGUGCCUCACUGGAAACAUGUUCUAUGCUCUUUCCUCAGGUCCUUCUGCAUAAAAAAUAACUGUAAUGGGUAGGUGAAGUCAAUUCAAGAGGAGGCCCAUUUGGUUUGGGGCUAAGUUACCUGUCCCAAUAUGUAUUCCUG
RNAcentral lists this long non-coding RNA (7171 nucleotides) under Cricetulus griseus (Chinese hamster). RNAcentral's name for it is "lncRNA (ENSCGRG00015033415.1)". Lineage: Eukaryota; Metazoa; Chordata; Mammalia; Rodentia; Cricetidae. The record is from RNAcentral.